Molecule: long non-coding RNA, 370 nt
Organism: Nematolebias whitei (Rio pearlfish)
Lineage: Eukaryota; Metazoa; Chordata; Actinopteri; Cyprinodontiformes; Rivulidae
Exons: 3
Source: RefSeq, a predicted model, not a curated record
CAGCUGAUUCAUUCACAUGACAGCCGGUUUGUCUGGUUUACAGCCCGGAAAGUCUGUUUUUUACCGUCAGCGGACAUUCUGGGAGGAUAAAAGGAUGUUUGCUGUUUAAGCGAGAAUUAAAGAGAUCAUUAAAAACACGAUUAGCGGCAGCCACGGAGUGUUUUAGCCAAACAGCAGGUCGUUGGGUUUAAGUCACUCCUGGAGGAACUGAAGAAGUCCUUUGAAAUGGGUCCAGAAGGGAAGAGGCUUGUGAACAUCAUCGUGCUGGGUUUGGGCUUCAUGUUCAUGUUCACAGCUUUUCAAACGUGUGGUAACAUCGAGCAAACCAUCAUAAAAAGCUUCAACAGCACGGAGUUUCAUGGCAGCGGGU